This 253-nucleotide ribosomal RNA is filed under the name uncultured prokaryote. RNAcentral's name for it is "partial 16S ribosomal RNA". It matches the Rfam family "Bacterial small subunit ribosomal RNA", at positions 524 to 776 of the family's 1533-position model. The record is from RNAcentral.
UACGAAGGGGACUAGCGUUGUUCGGAAUUACUGGGCGUAAAGCGCGCGUAGGUGGUUCGUUAAGUUGGAUGUGAAAUCCCCGGGCUCAACCUGGGAACUGCAUUCAAAACUGACAAGCUAGAGUAUGGUAGAGGGUGGUGGAAUUUCCUGUGUAGCGGUGAAAUGCGUAGAUAUAGGAAGGAACACCAGUGGCGAAGGCGACCACCUGGACUGAUACUGACACUGAGGUGCGAAAGCGUGGGGAGCAAACAGG